Drosophila yakuba is the source of this 3410-nucleotide long non-coding RNA. RefSeq lists it as uncharacterized. The record is from RefSeq and is a predicted model, not a curated record. The transcript is spliced from 3 exons. NCBI's taxonomy places the organism in Eukaryota, Metazoa, Arthropoda, Insecta, Diptera, Drosophilidae.
AAUUGCAAAAUUACUUACUGCCAUCGUAAAUGUUCAUAAAAUCUUAAUAGACAUUUUUAUACGGUCGUUGGUAUCAAGGUUCAGGGAGAACCCAUGAGUACGCGUGUACGAACGAUUUUCAUGAAUCAACUGCUGUCUAUAACUCAGCAGAUUUAAGGGGUUAGUGAGGUAAUGUCUCUUUAAAAGUUAAGCCCUAUAUCUGAAUUAAUCUUCAGUGAAUAACCUGUUAACUACACAACUGGAGUCACUCAGUCAGUAAACAACUAGAUAAAUCAAACUGUAAGACUAAUUCUAUAAUAACUAUAAUUAAGUCGAGACAUUGAAAAGGGUUUACACAUUUAAAAGAAAAGCUAUCCUAUUGUAAUCAAUACUACACAUUCGGAACACUAUUAGUCGCCUGUUAAACUAUCUGAUAACAAUAUAUCCAUCUACCAAAGCGCUGACCACUCAUAUUAUCUUUAUUUUAGUGUAAUUACCGCCACGGGUCGAAAAUUUGUGAGGUUCUAAUCAAGUUACCGGGGGCUAACCAAUGUCGAUAUCGUUUGAACUUUGAAAUUAGCAAAAUGCUCUAAAGCAAACCCAAAACUCGAUAUGGUGAAUUGCAAAUACUCUAUAGACUUUGGUAUAGGCAAGUCGUUUCCUUACGCUCUAUGGACUCUGCGGAUAGGAAAUGAAUGAAUGACUAACUGACAUUGAAUAUAUACAACUGGGAGAGGGUGUGAUCGGGAUCGGAGUGGUCGGUGUGGAUCGGCGCUUAUCUAAUCAAUGGAAAACCAAGUUGGUUAAGGAACUAGCAAGCAAGUGUUUAUGGCUGAUUGGUUUCACUUCAACGCCUCGUAUGAGCACAGCUGUGUGUGUGCACUCGGGCGAAGUCCUUACCCUUGGAAGAGUCAGGAUUAUCGCACUCUGGAAGGGAUUGCAGGGGAACUACUUCGCACGGACUAAACUCGCGAUCCGCACAACCGAGUAACAGCGUCUUCGAAGCGACGUGCGCGACUGGCGUCCAGUAAACAAACAGUGAUCCCAGCUAGCUCUGCUGCUGCAGUGCUGAAUGGCUACGAGUAUAUGGCCGUAUGGCUAUAUGGCGGUAGCAGUUCCCGUUCCCGUUCCCGCUCCCGAUCCCGAUCCAAUCCGAUCGCCCAGAAGUCGGAGAGUCGCUUCGUCGGCCCAGCUGACGACUCAAGGGCCACAAAGAACACGAUCGGCCGUCUCAACGUCAGCGUCAGCGGGUGUGCGUCGUGUAUCUCAGCUCCCAAGUGGGUGUGGGUGUGUGUGUGUGUGUGUGUGUGUGGAGCGCAGGCUUUAUCGAAGGCGCUCAGUGGUGGCAGCUGGCCCAAUCUUUGGCGGGAAAUAGCUUACAAGUAUAUAAUUCGAUUCACUAAAUUACUUUGUCUUACAUAUAUAUUGAUUGCAAACUGUUUUUAGAGUAGUAAACAACGUUAGCUGCUAAUGUGGCAAUCCAUUUGCACAUCUUUCAGUUUCAGAUGCUUGUAACUGCAUUUGUUAAAUAAACAUCUAAUGAGUCAUCUUAUCGAAAUAACUUACGUUAAAUGGCUUUGGUAUCUUAAGACUAACACUAUAAGAACCAGUUUAUUUUAGAGAAUGCUGUUGCUUUGACACACUAAACACAGUAAAAUGUACUUAAGAAACUGCCUUAUAAACUAUUAAACGUAGAAUAUUGUAUAUCCAGUUAUUGAUUUCCCUGCAGGUGAAAAUAGCUAGACUGCCAGCACUGGAACUCGAACCAAGAUCGUUCGGCAGUCGCUGCUCGCGUAUAUUUCGCAUUGGUUAUUAGUGUUUUGGCGUUGUUAUAUUGUCGUUUUCCUUCGCUGAUAAGAGUAGCUUACGCACACCAGCGCGCGUGGAUCACACACAGAUACUCACCUGUGGUAGCUGAUUGAGUUUUCGCUUUUUGGUUUUUUGGCGGCACGAUCUCGGCCCGAUUGCUCCGGUUGACAACGGUUCGUGCUCUGGAGUCACAAGUCCACCUAUCGAAUUUCUUCGACAGUCCAUAAUUGGCGUAUACGUAAUACGUAAUAAACAUGCCCGCGUCGCCGUCGCCGUCGCUUUCCUCAUUUUGGUUGAAUUCUGUGGCAAUGGCAAGGCAUUCUGAAACAAAAGCGAGCUCUAUUCGCGGACUGCAUUAUCGGGCCAGUUUACAAUGCCUAUAUAUUCACAACGGAUCCAUCAAUAGGCGGUCUGACUUGUUAAGGCUCUUUGUGGCUGCUCGUGAAUCAGAGUUACUUCACCGAUUAGCUUCCUUGUUCGCUGCUCAUCGAUCCCUUGUGGUUAAUUAGCAUUCGCGGAGCACUCAUUCUCUGAAUUUGUAGGACAAAGAGUUGGAUUUUAAGCUCUAAAGAGUAUCAGAGAAAUAGGACUUUAACUUUCAGAUAGCCAGUCUUAUACUUCCGAGAAUAUUGAGAUAUGGGAAGAUCCACCUGAAUACUCACCAGAUAAGGAUCUCCACCCAAGCCGCAUUGCUUUACCAACUUUGCAAAUCCUCCGAUGAAUGCUAAACAAAUUUCUCACACACCUGAAAUUUUGCUCAACCGGAUCGAAGACCAUAAUUGUAACGGUUCAGCAAGAUACAGGCGCGAAUGAAAUAUGCCGCCAAAGGACUUGGACACAACCAGGACAAAUGAAUCACCAAGUAGAUAUGACUAGCACUGGAACUGCGUGUGGCACUGGAACCGGGACCGCAACUUUUCCUGGCCACGCUCGGAUUCGAACUGAUGGCCAGAAGUCAGCGCCAGUCUGUAGGUAGCCACUUGUGAUCAACCCGGACCCGGGCGACCCAUCUAACUAUGUGAAAGCGCAUUAGAACUGGAGAAUCGACUCGACUCGGCGCAGAACAAAAGGAAGCGCUGACAAUGCCGGCUGCCUGGUUGGCUGAGUGCCUCGGUUGGGGUUGGCUGGCUGGCACUGGCAAUGGGAUUUGGGACUGGGACUGAUGGACAGACGGAACGGAGCAGACCGGCUGACUGGCUGAAUGGGUGGGUGGGUCACUAGCACCACUUGCAACAGCGGCGCAUGCUUUCUAAACGCCACCAUUAUCUAGUCGCUGUUGUUGUUGUUGUUGUUUUGGUUGUGGGACGCACCUUACUAAUACUUACCAAUACAAAUAGCCAAGUGGAAGCGGAGCGACAGCUGACACCAUCGGCGAACGCGCCUUUUUAACGAGCGACCAACGCGACCCCACCUAGUAUCACCCGACCCGGAGUGAUUACAUAGAGCCCAGAUGGAAUUGGAAUUGGAAUCGGCAGUGAAGACGGAGAUGCCUCUGCCCCCGAGGUCCUCAUGACGUGUGCCCGCCCAGAGACUGGGCUCGGACCUAUAGCAACCGCGGGAUCCUGGCAUAUAUCCUGCCAUUUAUACGCACCUCUAAAUAAAUGGGUUAAUGACUUGGCAAA